RNAcentral lists this ribosomal RNA (544 nucleotides) under uncultured bacterium. RNAcentral's name for it is "bacterial SSU rRNA". It matches the Rfam family "Bacterial small subunit ribosomal RNA", at positions 777 to 1320 of the family's 1533-position model. The record is from RNAcentral.
AAUAGAUACCCCGGUAGUCCACGCCGUAAACGAUGAGUGCUAAGUGUUAGGGGGUUUCCGCCCCUUAGUGCUGCAGCUAACGCAUUAAGCACUCCGCCUGGGGAGUACGGUCGCAAGACUGAAACUCAAAGGAAUUGACGGGGGCCCGCACAAGCGGUGGAGCAUGUGGUUUAAUUCGAAGCAACGCGAAGAACCUUACCAGGUCUUGACAUCCCAUUGACCGCUAUGGAGACAUAGCUUUCCCUUCGGGGACAGUGGUGACAGGUGGUGCAUGGUUGUCGUCAGCUCGUGUCGUGAGAUGUUGGGUUAAGUCCCGCAACGAGCGCAACCCUUGUUCUUAGUUGCCAUCAUUUAGUUGGGCACUCUAAGGAGACUGCCGGUGACAAACCGGGGGAAGGUGGGGAUGACGUCAAAUCAUCAUGCCCCUUAUGACCUGGGCUACACACGUGCUACAAUGGACGGUACAAACGGUUGCCAACCCGCGAGGGGAGCUAAUCCGAUAAAACCGUUCUCAGUUCGGAUUGUAGGCUGCAACUCGCCUACA